AUUGAACGCUGGCGGCAAGCCUAACACAUGCAAGUCGAACGAGCGGCGGACGGGUGAGUAAUGUCUGGGAAACUGCCCGAUAGAGGGGGAUAACUACUGGAAACGGUAGCUAAUACCGCAUACCAUCGGAUGUACCCAUAUGGGAUUAGCUAGUAGGUGGGGUAAAGGCUCACCUAGGCGACGAUCCCUAGCUGGUCUGAGAGGAUGACCAGCCACACUGGAACUGAGACACGGUCCAGACUCCGACGGGAGGCAGCAGUGGGGAAUAUUGCACAAUGUGCGCAAGCCUGAUGCAGCCAUGCCGCGUGUAUGAAGAAGGCCUUAGGGUUGUAAAGUACUUUCAGCGGGGAGGCGUUACCCGCAGAAGAAGCACCGGCUAACUCCGUGCCAGCAGCCGCGGUAAUAC
This 406-nucleotide ribosomal RNA is filed under the name uncultured bacterium. RNAcentral's name for it is "partial 16S ribosomal RNA". It matches the Rfam family "Bacterial small subunit ribosomal RNA", at positions 30 to 526 of the family's 1533-position model. The record is from RNAcentral.